Molecule: long non-coding RNA, 2745 nt
Organism: Triticum aestivum (bread wheat)
Lineage: Eukaryota; Viridiplantae; Streptophyta; Magnoliopsida; Poales; Poaceae
Exons: 8
Source: RefSeq, a predicted model, not a curated record
CUAGAGCGAGCGGGAUUGGGCGUCCCUCCUCUCUUCUGUGAAAAUAUCUCCUCUCUCCCCUCUUCUCUGUGCCGCCGCCGCCGCCGCCUCCGCUUCCCCCCUCCCUCUCGGCCGCCUUGUCUCCUCCGCGUCCACCGUCUGCUUCUCCCCUUGUCUCGGCACCCGAGUAGCACGGCCACAUCACGCCUGCGCCCUCGCUUUGCCACAUCCUCUGCGUCGUCGUGCCAUCACACCGCCUCCACUUCGCCUUUGGUUCCCCGCCGCAGCCUCCUGCCCGUGCGCUUGAGAGGGGCAUCGCCGUCGUUGCCGGUGGCGACUUCAUCGGCCGCCUCCUCUCUCCUUGCCAAUCGUGACUGCCACGACCUCGGACCUCGCUGCAGACCCCUCGGCUAUCAGGGAAGGCAGCCAUCAGUGGAGAUUGAGCCGGCUACAUGGGUGCACUUACCAGGCUCUAUUUAUAUUACCCACUUUCCGUUUGGAUAAUGUUACUUUGCUUGUAAUUUUGAGAUUAAACUAUUAGCUUACUAUCAGGUCUGCACCAUUCUAGAUAUCAUCUUGACUUUUAACUUCUCCAAAUGCAACAUUGGAUAACAUAAAUAGGAAUUUUUGUCAAAUUGUGAAACUGUAAUUAAUAGAUUCACCUGAAUAUUAAUCUGUUGUGUUAUUGCAGGGAAGAGGUAUGAAAUUCUCAACUUAGGAGGGAGCAUACACAAGGUAUUCCACGCUUCCCAUUCUCCUCAUGUAGCAAAGGAACAUCCAACCUGUCAUGUGUCGAUCACUAAGUAAUAAACAGGACUCUGAUGUUGGAAAGAAGCAACUGGAUAUCAAAGCAAAAGGAACACGGCUCCUCUUAUAAAUCAGUGAACUAUCCUAAUUCUGGACUCUUAUGGCCCUAUAUAUGCCAAGCAGUCACAACUGCUGUUUUAGACAAACUAAAAAAAAAAUUUAACUUUGCAGUGUAAGCAGACCCUUGAGUAGGAGAGCAACAUGACUGCUAGCUUCCCUGCUGCAUUACAGGAGAUGGAUACGAAGUCCUCGGAGGAGGAAUACAAAGCUCUACAAGGUGAUGGAGCUGGAGAUGUUGUGUAUUUCCAGUCUCUUGAAGAACGAAUCAUUAAUAUGAAGAUUUUGCAGGGAUGUAUAUAUAUGAUCAUGUUUCACUGGGAUCCUCAACUGUUCCGGUUCGUAUUUAGCAGGAUCACAUGUUGACCAAUGACUCAAAUUAAUUUUCUCACUGAUCCUGUUUACUCAAGAACUUGUGACCCAGUUCCAGGACAACUAUGGACUAAGGGAUGGAGGUUGAUUUAUCAUGAGGCGGUUACAGGCAUGCAUGUUUUAUGGUGGCAAGCAUUAUAUAUCAUUGAAGACUCACCAUUUGUUCAAGUUCCUAACAUGCUAAUCGGCAACCUUUAGAAGAUUGCCCUUCAAAAUUUUCUUGCCUGCUCUCCUUGCCCCUGAGCUCCUGUACCAGCAACAACAACUUGUGUGUGGUAUCAGCCAGAGAUUAGCGUUGAUUUUUUCAAGUUAUUGGGACACUCGAGAACUAGCAGUACCACAUAAAAAAGUCUGGAGUUAGCAGAACCAGAAGCAUUACACUGAGGCGCUCAGAAGAAACCCAAAGGAUCCAAAGGUAUACGGCAACACGGCUUCCUGUUACACCAAGACGGAUGCCAUGCCUGAAGUACUGAAGGAUACCAAGAAGUGCAUCGAGCUAUAUCCCACAUUCUACAAGGGAUGCACAAGGAAGGGUGCAAUCCUGUUUGUCUCUAAAGAAUGCGACAAAGCAAGGGAACGAGUGUUCCUGAGUGGUUUUCUUAUUGCUUGAUCAAAACUACAAGCAGAGCAAAUUUAAAGUCCUGCUGUUCUCUUUGCAAAUUUAAGGUCCUGCAAAUUUAAGCUACAAUGGAAAAAGUGAAGAUUCCAGUAAAAGUGCUUCUAGACGCUAUGAUGCACCAGCUUGGCCUCCCAAAUGCAGUUUACUCAACACAAAAAGGGGCGGACGGUCGGUCUUGAUCCCAAAUGCAGUUUACUCAACACAAAAAGGGGCGGACGGUCGGUCUUGAUGCAAUAGUUCACUUCUAUGGAUGUAAGCAGCAACUGGACAAUAGACUUUCACAAAAAUCAAUAUCCAUCCAUGUGUAUGAUAAACUCGAAGAAGCUGAAGAUCAACUAGCAACUGAGGCUCUCAGGUGCAUACAAGGUUCUUACAACACAGUUCUACAAGACAUAAACUACGACAAGGCACAUCUAGCUCAAGAAAAAUGUUAGACUCUAGAGCAUCAGCAAAAAAGAUAAGGACGGAAGAAUCAACUAUUUUAGCAGCAGUGGAGAUCAAAUUGCAGCAAAGGAACUUUAUCGCAUAACAGAUACAAACUAGCUGGCUCAAUAUCCAAAGACAACAAUCUCAAUCAUGUUUUAUCACAGGUAACAUAUGCUGCUGACCGUCUUAGCGAUACAACAACACAGUCUGAAUAUGAUCUCCAGCAAAUAAACCACUAUUAUUGGGGCCUGGACGAUGAUAUCGAAGGAAUUUCUGCUUUGAGCAAUGCAGGCCACGAAGAAUAGCAGUUAUGAAGAGUUGCCUCAAAGAGGUCGUUCUAAACAUCCAGCGAUACAUCUGUCUAACGUAUCUUUGCCUAUCUACAUGCCUUGCUCAUAACAUGUAAAUGAUCGUUCGUAAGCUUCUUAGGAAACAUGUAUCAUCAGCAACCAUCUAUCUAUCAUCAAUCCAUACUUAUUUCCAUA